Molecule: ribosomal RNA, 531 nt
Filed under: uncultured Massilia sp.
Lineage: Bacteria; Pseudomonadati; Pseudomonadota; Betaproteobacteria; Burkholderiales; Oxalobacteraceae
Description: bacterial SSU rRNA
Rfam family: Bacterial small subunit ribosomal RNA
Source: RNAcentral
AUGCCGCGUGAGUGAAGAAGGCCUUCGGGUUGUAAAGCUCUUUUGUCAGGGAAGAAACGGCCUCGGCUAAUAUCCGGGGCUAAUGACCGUACCUGAAGAAUAAGCACCGGCUAACUACGUGCCAGCAGCCGCGGUAAUACGUAGGGUGCAAGCGUUAAUCGGAAUUACUGGGCGUAAAGCGUGCGCAGGCGGUUUUGUAAGUCUGACGUGAAAUCCCCGGGCUCAACCUGGGAAUUGCGUUGGAGACUGCAAGGCUUGAGUCUGGCAGAGGGGGGUAGAAUUCCACGUGUAGCAGUGAAAUGCGUAAAGAUGUGGAGGAACACCGAUGGCGAAGGCAACCCCCUGGGUCAAGACUGACGCUCAUGCACGAAAGCGUGGGGAGCAAACAGGAUUAGAUACCCUGGUAGUCCACGCCCUAAACGAUGUCUACUAGUUGUCGGGUUUUAAUUAACUUGGUAACGCAGCUAACGCGUGAAGUAGACCGCCUGGGGAGUACGGUCGCAAGAUUAAAACUCAAAGGAAUUGACGGGG